RNAcentral lists this ribosomal RNA (224 nucleotides) under uncultured bacterium. RNAcentral's name for it is "partial 16S ribosomal RNA". It matches the Rfam family "Bacterial small subunit ribosomal RNA", at positions 108 to 334 of the family's 1533-position model. The record is from RNAcentral.
UCGUAACACGUGUGCAACCUGCCUUUAUCUGGGGGAUAGCCUUUCGAAAGAAGAUUAAUACUCCAUAAUAUAUUGAACGGCAUCGUUUAAUAUUGAAAGCUCCGGCGGAUAGAGAUGGGCACGCGCAAGAUUAGCUAGUUGGUGAGGUAACGGCUCACCAAGGCGAUGAUCUUUAGGGGGCCUGAGAGGGUGAUCCCCCACACUGGUACUGAGACACGGACCAG